RNAcentral lists this long non-coding RNA (31096 nucleotides) under Medicago truncatula (barrel medic). RNAcentral's name for it is "long non-coding RNA (MTRU_LNC000826)". The stretch from base 18355 to 18523 matches the Rfam family "small nucleolar RNA snoR143". The record is from RNAcentral. Lineage: Eukaryota; Viridiplantae; Streptophyta; Magnoliopsida; Fabales; Fabaceae.
UAGAAAUGUGUGAUGCUGUAUAAGUGUGAGUUGUAUUCUUCUACCAAGGCUUUUAGGGUUUCACCAGUUUUGCUGAGCCUAAAGAUUAGGACAGUGAAUAGAAUGAGAAAGUUGUUUACCUGUUAUUGAAAGUGUAGCAACUUCAAUGGUUUCAAUGCAGCUGAUAUGAAUACUUAAUAUUAAUCAAUGUUCUUGAGAAUGGAAAGGCAAUGGUAUAGAAAUGCAUGAUAAGCAAUGUUCCUAAGAAUUUGGUGAGACAUUGAUGAGUCUUUACAGCUGUUUUGCUAGUCACCCUUGUACAGAAACUAUGGUUACAUGAAUAGUUGGUUGUUUGAUUGAGAAUUGGAGUGUUUCAUGUAAAUGUGUCGCUGGCUUGCUUUUAUUGUGUGGAACUUACUGUUGCUGUAAUUAAUCUUCAUCGUACGAACAAUGCUAGUGCCAGCGUUAUUUUUUAUAUUUUUUUGUAGGGAAAUUCGGAAAUGGUUUUGCAAUCUUUUGUUAAAAAAGUAAAAUGAUAAAAGGAGGAUGAAGGUGGAGUGAGAGCUGCAAACUUGUGUUGAUUGUGGGAAUACUACAUAAAAGACCCAGCAUGACAUCAAUUCCAAUUUGUCACAAUUGAUGGCAAAAAGAGGGUAUGUUUUUGUUUAAUUUAACAUAUUGUUCUCUUGAUUCAUUUCAUGUCAUUUUAAAUCAAUUUUGUUUAAACUCUUACUUAUCUUCAUUACCGCUUUAAAAAGACUUGAUGGGCCCUUUAUUCUUAGUAUUAGAACUAUUUGGCAUUUUGAACAUGUUAUUUAAGGGCAUUUGAUCCUUUCACUCUAGGAUCUAGAUUGAAUUGGGGUAGAGGAAAACCAGUGAUGAUUAUAAAUGCUAUAUAGAAUUGUUAGGAACAAGAAUGACUACAAAUUGAUGAACAGGGGCCAACCUGUUAAUAUUUUGUAUUUUAUGUUUGAUAAGGUAAAAUAAAUAAAUUUUCAGGAAAAAAUGAAACCCUAAAAAAAAUGGUUGAUGCAUAUGACUUGUAUCCUUUGUUCGCCGCUUUUAGUGUUUCAGCAAUUUGCCGAGCCGAAAGUGGGAAUACCCGAGUGGGCAAUGAUUAGAACGAGAGAAGCCCCGAGUGGGAAUACCCAAUUCCAUUGAUAAAUUCGUAGAUAGAAACACACUUAUUCUCUUCACCCUCUCAAAAAUCAAACAAAACAAAAUCAAAGAAGCUUUGAGCUUAAUGGUGCCGCCGAGCCUUUUUCACCAAAGGGGUUUGGCUUUGAUAUGAGCCCCUUAACCUUCUGAUUUUAUAUUGUUAUGAUUAUUAACUUUUUUGUUUUAAAAAUUUGUUUUGUCAAGAGUUGUAGUUUUGUUUUUGGCCUGAUUUUGUUUUGGACGAGGAACACUCUUGUGUUGUUUUAAAGAUUCAGUGCGCACAGCAAAAGCUUGAUUAUAGCUACUACUGCUUGUUUUCUGAUUUUCAGAAAAAUGGUGGGUUUGUUGUAAUUGGGCAGCGGCCAGACAACCGUAGAGAUGGAAUCCACAGAUCUUGAGUUUUUUCUCUCUUACUUCUACUAAUUCCAUCUCACCUUUACUUAUGAUUAACUGUUAAUUUUAAUUUAUUGGUUUAUUUUGAUGUAACUUUUACUGUUGACAUAAAUUUUGGGGUUUUAUGACGAGGAAGAAGACAUAAAGCAGUAUGCAUUGACCUUUUUUUCUACAUUUGUUGUUUAAGUUUAAGCUUCAAUUAGUUGCUCUUUAAACUCAUUCAUCCGUAGAUAGCAAGGAAGGAGUAAUUGAAGUGGAUACCUUCAUUUGUCUCUGAUUGACUUUUUUGGAGACAAUCAUGUUUCAGAUGAAAUUUUUUAGGUUGCUUGUCACCCUGAUGCCGCAACUAUGGUUACAGUAUAGGAAUAGUUUGUUGUGUAGAGCUAAACUUGAAUCAUGUCUCUUUCAUUCAAAUCAUCAUAACCAAUGUAUUCUUUAAAACAUAUAUAUUUGUAAUGUCAUCCCCAAACACCAAAUUGUGUUUAUUGAAUUCAUAUAUAUGUACAAAUAUGCUCUUCCUGCUUCACACAAAACCAAAGCUUGUGCAACCAAUGUUUCACUCUGAACUCAAUUUAUAUUCUUGGUUAAUAUAUAUAGUGAGUUAUAUAGGGGCUUGAAGUAUUAGGUUGUCGUUUGUCACAUGUUUUAAUUAGGCAAGUAACUAAAAUGCUGCAUAAUUUGACUCAUGAAUGGAUGGAUUUUCCUGUCUUAAUGCAAUAACUGGAUCAUUGGCUUUCUGAUCGUGGGGUUGACGGCAGCAUAUUGUAUUUGUUCUUGGCUGAUGACAUGGACUCUUCAUCACUUGAAUUUAAAACUACAAUGGAUCUUUUGGUCAUAUUAAGUUGCUAAAUUUUCAUUUCAGGUAUUAUACUCAAGAUAUAUGGAAAGCCAAUUCCGCUUAAUAAUGGAGAAUCUUGCAUUAAGGGAUGAAGAAGCCAAAUUAGAAAUUUUCGAAAGUAUUUUACCAUUUUUUAGGUCCGAUGUCCCCAUUAUCCCAUAAACCUUUUGCAAGUCAUUAUUUAUUUUUAUAACCUAGUGCAAUUUCCCGCCGUUGCUGCAUGGUCCAAGGUGCACGGGCGCUUCUGGCAACCCCUUGUGCGUGAAAUCUGCAGUUUCCAACCCUUUUUCAAGCGUUCUUACGUCUUGCAAUGUCUUGCAAUGAAUUUUCUUCACUUUAUAUCGUCUUCAAAUGUCUUCUAAGAACCGUUAAUCUUUAAUCUUCAUAUCUUCGAUCCUUCACUUUGUGUCUGUUUUGCUUAUUUACAUGAUUUUCUCACUAAAAAGACUCAAAACACCCAUGGAUUUGCAUGAUUUAGGAUAAAACUAAACUACAACGACUCGAAUGAAAACAAUACAAAAAGUUUCUCAAAUCAUAACCAACUUGUCUUAUUGCUUCUAAUUUGCCUUCAAAUGCAAAAAAAAGAAAAAAAAAAAAAGAAAAAAAAAAGAAAGAAAGAAACUAAAAACAUAGUUAAAAAUAUUAUAUGUUAUUCCAUCAUCGCCGACCUUAUAUGAAAGGUUGGAAGGAUGCACAAUCAUAUGCUUAAACUAUAUUGACAAACAAAACAUCAAAGUUUUGAUACAAAAUCAUACAUCCAAUGAGGUGUGAGUAGCUUAUAAGAAAUAAGGAGGUGCCAAAAACAACUCAAUCUAAUUUGGGUCAUUUAUAGGCGGAUCAACAUUCUUUGGGUAUGGACACACAAGGUCGGCCCAUUUGAUCAAUACUAUAUAAGGAUAUGUCACCCUACCACUGACAGUGCAACAUUUAUUUACAACAACAUAAAAGAAAAUCUAGGAGUUCAGGCCUGAUUGAUUCAACAAGACAAAUCGAUUCACCAAGACAAAUCAGGUAUACGAUCUUACUGAAAUUUAAUAUUCUUUUUCAAUUCCAACGUGAUUCAAUUAGAUGAUAUCAUAACUUAUUACUUGAUUUAUUCUUUAGAUAUUGCAAUCUUUUUCGUUAUUAAAUGGAUUUUAAAGAAUGAGAUGUUUAGAAAUUAAUAUAUUUAUUUAUCACGCCACAAGACAGGUUUAUGUCAAUUUUCCUCUAUUUUUAUGAUUUGCCAAGAUUUCGCAUUUUAUGGGUACACGCAUGAUGAGUUUUGAAAUGAGUCAUCCUAAAAAGUAAUUAAGGAAUAAUCAAAAAUUCAUUUACAGAUCUGAAAGUUAGCUAGAUAUGAGAAUCAAAUUUGAGAAUUAUACCUUCAAUUUGAAUUCAGAUAGCUUUAAAAUCAAACUCAUAUGAAAACAUAUUUAGAGGGUUUUCUUAGGAUUUUGAGUUAAAUUUACGGUUACAAGUUAAUCAGAUUUGAGAUGGGUACUGAUAAAACAUCAGAUGACCGCAUUAUCAAACUUAACUCAAAUCGGGCUAUUCGAACAAAUAAUGGUUCCAUGAUCAUUAAAUUGAUAUGAAGGUGAGUACUAUAGUAAAUCUAUUAUAGUUUUUGCUUUUGAUCGCAGUAAUUAUGUUUUUUUAACCCUCAUAGGCUGGUUUGGUGGUGUCGGCUUAGACUUUUCAAUGUGCUCCUCUCAAGGUCUCAAGUUUUAUUCUCCCCAAUACCAAUUUUAAUAGGUUAGUUUGGAUUCUUAAAAAAAACAUGUUUUUUUCCUUGCCACAUGUCAGUCUCCCAUUGGAUGUCGACGACUGAUAUGGUUGUGAUGAUGUAGCAACUUUAUGCCAUGCAGCAAGGUUCAAUCAUCAUGAUUCCAUGUGUAGAUUUAGUGUGACUCGGAUAUCACAUGAACCAAACGUGAUGUAAUCAAGGUCGGCCCAAGUCAUAGGCCAGGGGUGCGGCAACCUAUUACCAAUAUUUUUUUAGAGGGUGUGGGUGUAUAUAUCAAUUUGUUUUCUAAAGGGGGUAUGCAGAUGAAGAGUAUUAUGGUGUUAUGGUGACUUGGGGUGACACCCUAGCUGAUAUGUCAAUCGUCAUGAUUAACGCAUGUCUCGUUCAUCAUUUACUAGAAACGAAGCCGGAUGGAAUCUUAAUUUGUGGGAAUAGAUUCUAAAGAAUUUUACGCACACCAUAUAAAAGAUGUUAUCCGAAGGAAUUUUAUAAAUUAUAUACUUCCAUAGCGUACGAACUUGCAUCUUACUAGUAUAAUGAAGAGUAUUUGUUUUCUUGUUACUUUCUUAUCUAUCUGUAUCACAAGAAUGAUUUCCAAAAUUCAAUUACUAGAAAAAUAUACAGAACUUUUUACUUAUGAAUUUUCUAAAAUGCAUAUUAUUAUUUUAGAUAUCAGAGUUCUUUGAAAAGUGGAUGGAGAAGCAAGAGGUUGGAAAGAACAAUGAUGAAAUGCAAAAUUCUGAAGGAGAAAAUCAUCCUAUGGUAUGUAUUAUUGACCAUAGAAUAAACAGUUACAUAAUAAUUUUUGUAAUUGAAUUCAUUUUUUUAUUUGCUAAAAUGUGAUUUCAUGCUUCCGCUGAUGUUACUUAUUGUCCAUGCAAAAUGCAAUGGAAAACAUAUCUCUUCGGAUCGCUGCUCUGGAUAACCUAAAUGCAGAUGAAGAAUUCGCAAAUAUGGUUGAAAGUCAUAAGGUCUAUAAUCCCUUUCCUUUUGUUUUGUUACUGAUCAAAAUUGUGUUUGUUAGGUCAACGUUAGCAUAGUAUUUAUGUCAUUCAAAUAUCAAUUUAUAUACAGGGAGAAAAAAGAACAACUUCAUGUUGAAUUCGUUAAGCUUGUAAGACAACUGGAUAUGAAACAAAAGUUGGAAUGGGAGAUUGGGCAACUAAAAGGAUCACUAAUUGUGUUGAAUAAUUUAAGUUGGAUCAUAUUCAUCCCUUCAAUGGGACAACUCCACAAAAAAUGAGCCUCAUUCUUCUUUUGCAGCUGGCUCAGCUUAUUCCAACGGUUCUUCUCGAUGUCUAGUGCAUCGUGCAUACGAGUCAGCAAAGCAUUGAGCAGUGAAAGCAACCUGCAAGUGACUUUCUCGAAGCGUCGUAGUGGGCUCUUCAAGAAAGCUAGCAAGUUUUGCACCCGUUGUCGUGCAUAUCUUGCUCUAAUUAUAUUCUCACUUGGUGAGAAGGUAUUUUUAUUUGGUCAGCCAAGUGUUGAAACGGUCAUAAAUCUUUAUCACUCAGAUUCCACCCUAAAACAAUGGCAUAACGCAAUUCAUUGAGGGAUAUCGUAACACCAAAGUUCGCAAGCUCAUUUUGGGUGGAGUUGUUCCAUUUAUGGGAUGAAUAUGAUCCAACUUGAAUUAUUCAAGAUUCUUGAAUAAUUCAAGUUGGAUCAUAUUCAUCAUACCAAUGGGAAGAGUCCACCAAAAAUGACCCUCCUUUUUCUUUCACAGCUGGCUUAGCUCAUUCUAACGGUUCUUUUCGAUGUCCACUGCAUCGUUCAUACGAGUCCGUAGAGAAUUGAGCUUGCGCACUUUGGCGCUACAAUAUGCCUCAAUGAAUUGCAUUAUGGCAUUGUUUUAGGGUGGAAACUGAAAGAGGUACCAAUUAUGACUGUUUCGACACUUGGCUGACCAAAUGAAAAUACCUUCUCACUAGGUGAGAAUAUAAUUAGAGUAACAUAUGCACCACAAAGGGUGCAAAGCUCGCUAGCUUUCUUGAAGAGUCCACUAUGGCGCUUCGAGAAAGUCACUUGCAGGUUGCUUUCAUUGCUCAUCUUUUUCAUCAUAAUCUUUUGGCGACCUCGAGUUUUCUUUCCGCUCGAUAUGGCUGAAGCACAAAAAGAGAGAGAAAAAUAUGGGUGGGUGUGUUUGUUCUAUAGACUAAGAAAUGACACAUUGUAAUUUGGUGUGAAGGGGUCAUUUUAUAGACAAAUUUUGUGAGUAUAUUUUUGAAAAUAUACCUUUUCAUUACAUUGAAAUAUUUACUGGAUUGAGAGAUUCUCAUCAAAUCUCUUUUAAUAUGGCUAAUAUGGCAGAUGAUUCAAUGUCAAAAAAUGUCAUUCUAUUAUAAAUUUAUAAUUGUAUUUGGAUAAUUCUAAGAAUUUGCAAUAAUCAUUUUUAUAUUUAUUUAUUUAUAUAAAAAUUAAUGAGUGUGGUGCACCAUAUAAAGAACGGUGAUAGUAUCCUUUACAAACAAUGUAGUAGGUUAUCCCUAAAAAAAAUAGUGUAGUGGGUUUAUUACUCACUUUUGUAGGUCUCAAUUUACCACUCUCAAGACUAGGAUUAAUAGAUGUUUUAUUUAGUCUUCAUAUGAAACAAAAUUGAUCGACCAAUUGAUUUACAAUGUUGUUGAUGAACUUUUUAUUUGUAAUUUAGGAUUGAAUUGGAAAACAAUAAGAAAAACAUGUAUGUAAGUAAUCAUGCUUGAUACAUUAAACACUUUUUGGACCUUCCAUCUUUUUGACAAAGUUUAAUAAAAAAUGCAGGAUCAAUCCAUUACAAAAAUAAAAUAAAAUGAAGGACUAACUUGUUCAAAUCCACUAUGAGAUGGUUGUAAUAUGACUACUAGUGUCACUUUAAUUAAUAAUAAUUUCAUCAUUUCUCUUUAUUAAAAAUUAGUUUUAACCUUAGUAAUCAAUUUUAUUACCAUGAAUAAAUUAAAAUUAUGACAGAACUAAAAAUAUAUUAAUUUAAUUAAUUAUAAUAUAUUAUGAUUGAAAGAAAAAAAGUAUAGUUUUUUAAUUAAAUUGGUUUUAUAAAAAAUAUAUUAAUUUAAUUAAUUAUAUAUCAUUUUAGCUUGUUAAAAAAAACGUGCAUCAUAGAGAAACAAGAAUAUAGUUUUUCAAUCAACAUGUACUCAACAAGAACAAAAAAGCAAAGAAAUAUGAUUAAACAAGAACAAUAAGAAAUCGAUUCAUAGGAAUGAACUACAUGAAAGUGUUUGAGUGAUGAAAUAAUGAUACCCAUGAACGAUUUUUCAAUCCUAUCAUUUGAAACCCACGAAAAUAUAUGGAUUAAAAUAACAAAGGGGUUUAACGAGAGCGUCAUUCCACCCAAUUUGCAUAUCAACAAAAUCACUUAUCAUUUUAAUCCUUACUCGGUGAGAAGGCAUUUUUAUUUGGUCACCCAAAUGUUAAAAUGGUCAUAAAUCGUUGUCUCUCAGGUCCAACCCCAAAACAAUGGCAUAAUGCAAUUCAUUGAGGCAUACUGUAGCGCCAAAGUGCACAAGCUCAAUGCUCUGCUGACUCAUGAACGAUGCAUUGGACAUCGAGAAGAACCAUUGGAAUGAGCUGAGCCAGCUGCGAAAGAAGAAUGAUGCUCAUUUUUGCGGACCAUUGGACAGAAAAUAAAAUACUAUUCAAAAUAAGCUAGUAGACUGCUGAUUUCUUGUUACAGUGCGUAUUAAACUAAUUACUUGUUAUAAUGCGUAUUAAAGCCUGUUUGUUAUAGCUUUUUUAAUUAAAAAAAUCAUUUUUUUAAAAAUGAUUACUUUUAAGAGUUUUGCAUUCGUUUAUUUCAACUUUUUUAAAAAAUCAGAAUCUAAAAAAAAUCUAAAAGUAACUUCAAAUGAGAAGUUGUUAAGAGUAGCUUCUCAAAAAAUAAAUUAUUUUAGAGGAGAGAGAAAAUAUAGAUCAAAAUAUUGAACUAAUUUUAUAACAGAAAAUCUCUUUUAUAUAGUUGUAUCAAAACAAACUAAAUCAUUUUCUAAAAAAAUUGACUUUUAUUAUGGUAAACAAACUCAAAAUAGAUUCUGAUUAUGGUAAACAAACGCAAAAUAGAUUCUGAUUUUUCAUUUGUCAAAAUCACUUUUAUUUUAAUUCGUAACAAAUCGACCCUUGAUCUUUUUUUAGGAUUGUGUAGUUAAAUUCUUAAAAUUUAUUCCCUCUAUCUCAAAUUAGGUUAGGAUAGGAGGAUGUAAGAAACAGACCUGUUUGGAUUAGUUUUUUUUUUUAAUACGAAAGAAGAAUAUAUUAAAUAAAAAUAAAUUAAUACAGAAAUUGGGGGACAUUAGACCUGACCCAGGUUUAAAUGAGAAUAAAUUAUGAUAAUCAAUGGAGCAACCCUAAUCAAUCAUAACAAACAAACAUUCCUCACGGGCGUAACCUAAUGAAACCGCUUACGGGCGCGGAACCAAGCUACAAAAAAAGAUGAAAAGUGCAUGAAUGUAUGGAUAAAAGGGUUAUAAAUUGGCGAAUGGAUCGACCGCCAACACGGUUUCAAGAUCCAAGUACCAGCAACCCCCUCAACAAAGCAACAUGCAUAGUAGCUCUUUCGAGCAUAACAUUCCAUGUCAUAGGGACUAAGACAGAAAAAGAAGACAGUACCGGAGUGGAGGCUGAAUUAGAGACUCGAGACCUGUAAAUCUCCAUAGACCUGGAACAUAAGAGAAUCAAUCACAUAACCACCAGCACACCAGUUUCAAGUAGCGCUUGAACCCAGAUCGUGGGAUGAGUCCAACGCAUUGUAACCGAACAGUCCUUUCGGGUUAAUAAACCCAGACCCUUUUGAGUUUACAAAACCGAGGCCACAUUUGUGACCACCCAAUCUCAUAUCAGAAACACAAACAUACAAAACAAACAGAAUCAUACAAAAGAAACGAACAUCGGCGGAAGAACAUAACCAAAUUCCAUAUCCUGUAACUAGAGAGUAGAAACUCUGCAUCCAGCAACUGGGGAACAAAAACAACUCCUCCACCUUGCCAAAAAGACGCCCCACAGUCCGACGUGGAGGAGGCGCACCCAAAACCAUAAAAUACUCAUGAACCGAGCUCAAUCCAGUGAAGAUAUACAUAUCAAGGCGCAACAACCACCAACCAAACUGAAACCUCUCAAACGGUUGCAACGACGACUAAAACAGAUCAAGCUUGCGUCCAAACUAGAUCUGACGACGACCGAAUAGUGAACACGAACGAAAGUUGAGGGGUGUCGGUGGUGAGGGGAACCUACAAUCUCGUAGCAUCACCAAUGAAAGAGAUUACAUUUGACCUUGUUAUUUGGAUGUGAAAGGGAAGAAAGGAGGAGGUCGGUGGUGAUGUUGUAAGAAGGAAAAAAGUCGUUCAAGGGUAGUGAGAGACGAGAGCUUCUCUCUAAACACGCUUCAAACUACGUAUUCCUUAUUUGGAUUAACUUAUUUUAGAGCUUAUACAAAACAGUUUAUGCAAAUAAAUAAAUUUUUAUGUAUUAUUUAUAAGUUAUUUACAUACACUCAAAAUCUGAUUAUGUAAAGGGUUAAUACCUCUUUUCAUCCCUGUAAUAUUAGCGAAUUUCGGUUUUAGUCCCUGUAAAAAAAAAUUUAGAUUUUGUCCCUGUAAUUUCAUAUUCUUCCACUUUUGGUCCCUUAUUCCACCACGUCAGCAGAAUCUGCAUACAUGGCACGUAAAAUGAGGGACCAAAAGUGAAGGAAUUUGAAAUUACAUGGACCAAAAGUGGGAGGAAUCUGAAAUUACAGGGAUGUAAUUUAUGUAGAUUUUGCUGACGUGAUGAAAGGAGGGACCAAAAGUGGAACAAUAUGAAAUUACAGGGACAAAAUCUAAAUUUUUUUUUUACAGGGACUAAAACUGGAAUUCGCUAAUAUUACAGGGACGAAAAGAGGUAUUUACCCUUAUGUAAAUUAUUGUCACUUUGUCCGAGUUAAGGGAAAAAAAGUAAAGACGAUAUCUAAGUUUAGGAGGCGGCGAAGCUAGCAAUAUUUUUAUGAGGUGUCGACAUAUAUAUAUAUUUUUUUUAACUAGUAAAUUUAACCAAUAAGAAAAAAUAAAUUCUCAAUAACUAUUACGUACAUAAAAUGCACUUAAAGCUUGUACCAAAAAAAAAAUGCACUUAAAGCUAUAAUUUACUAAUUACUUUGUUUAGCUGUAAAGAAAAAAAUUCAAAGUGUUAAUAAUGGGUUUGUUAUAAUAAAGGGUUAAUAAAUUAUGUUUGGGUCAAUAGUGAUAGAAUUUCUUUUGUUGGAGAAAGUUAUAGAAUAUUGUUGUUGUCGUCAUAUUUUCAUUAUCAAUCAAAGAAUAUGUAUAUUUUUUAUGUUCACCCUUCGGUUUUUAGAAGAUCAGAUCAAGUAAUUCGAAGUUCAAUUGAAAAGUAAGUAAAAUCAAAAAAGAAAAAAAAAAAAAUCAAUCCAUCUAAAAUCAAACUUGGGGUAGCCAGAUAUAUAUUAUUAGGGGUAGCUUAAUAUAAAAAUAUACCAACUCAUUCAACAAUUUUUUUUCUCUUUGGGGUAGCUAUGGCUACCCCUCUCACAUGAAAUGAAAGCAAUCACCCCUGGGAGAGAGUAUACAAUUUUCAUAAGGGCACUCACCAAUUGAGUGACUCAUCAACCUUGUCUCUGAAUUUGCAUAAACCGGCCAAAUUCGUCCCCCAAUUUAACGAAAUAUCAAAAUAGUUUCUGAAUUUGUAAAAUGUCAAUCAAUUUAGUCCCUCCGUCCAAUUGGAGUGUUAACGGUGCUGACGUGACCGUCAAUCUCUCACAUGUCAGAUGCCACACAAGCAAAGACUAAUUUGGCUGAUAGUGACCAAAAUUUCCAAGGACGAAAUUGAUUGAUUUGCAGAAAAUGUUCUUUCCUCCCCAACGGCUCUAUCUUUCUUCCUCCAAUAUAUAAAAUUGGAACCCUAAUUUUACAAUCUUUAAUCUACACUCCAAAAUUCCCAAAAUUUCUUUCAAUAAUUAGUGGUAACGUACUUCCCCAAUUCAAAAAACCCCAAACCCUAUUUUUUUUUAUUGAAUCCGAAAAUCAGAUUCCCUAAAAUUUCUUCAAGCAAAACUGUUCAAAUUGAAUCUGAAAUGAUGGUGGGUGGGUAUAUUUAGGUGUGUGUAGAGUUGUAAUGAAAAGAGGUUGAAGAUGAAUGAAAUGUAGCCAUUCUGCAAUAAUUUUACCAUCAUAUUAGUCCCUGAAGUAUUUGUCUACUAUCAAAUUGAUCCUUACAUUAUAUUAAAAAACCAUCAAAUAAGUUAUUGAAUUAUAUAAACAUAAAUCAAUUUGGUCUUUGAAGUAGCCUAUGCAAUGUCCCACAAACAUAACUCAUCAACAUCCAUUUUUUCCAAAACACAGAAUUCACCACGAACAUAUUACAACCUCUGAUACUCAUCUCGCUCUAAACCACCACGGUGAUGCCGGAUUAGCGAGAUAUUGUCUUCCAUCCUACGGAUUUUGGCAACAUUAGUCUUAACCACAAACAAAACAACAUCAAAAUACAAACCCUAAAAUGCAAACCUUUUUCAGAAACUGUUUUAAUCAAUUAGUAAUUUCCUUCAUUACUGCCGACCAGAAAAAAAAAAAUUAAAUUUUUAAGUCUUAAACUAAAAACCAUAAAAUGAAUAAUCUAAACAACCCUGGAACGAAUUGGGGAAUGAAUAAUCUAAACCAUAAAAUGAAUAAUUUAAACUGACCAUUUUGAUAUUUCCUUAAAAUGGGAAAUCAAUUUGACAGAUCGGUGCAAAUUAGGACGAAGUUGAUGAUUCACUCCUAACAAAUCUGACUAGCCGGUCUUUCGAUCUAAAACCCUGGUUUGUCGAUGUUGAUAUCUAUCUCCCUCGCUACCGCACUUCUGUCACGUGCGUUCUUCUUCAAGUUCUGCCGUUGUGUCGUCGCCACUGGUGAGUUUCCUUCUUCCUCCUUUUUCUCUUCAGAUUCUUAUUAUUUAUGUAUUACUAAAACUGAUAUCAUGUGGUGACUGGUGAAUAAUCAGAUUCAUUGAUUUGUGCAUCAACAUCUAAACAUAAAUAAAUCUCAAACAUUUUUGGAUCAAAGAUGGGAGAGUUUUUAUUUAAAUUUAAAAAAUAAUGAAAUGUUUAGAAAAAUUGAAACCCUAGAAUUAGGUGGUGGUUCUCUAUUUCUUUGAUCCUUGCAUUCAGCUGUUUUGCCGAAGGUAUUAAGAAAAGGGCGAUGAUUACAACGAGAGAGGCCUUUAGUGGGGAAAUAAUACCCAAUUCCUUCGGAACAUUCUGAUUUUUCAUUCUUAUGAUCAUUUUAGCUUAUUUGUUUUCGAUAAAUUGUUUUGUUGUUCCGAGUUGUAGUUUUUACAAUGAUCUUGCUUUGAAUGAGAACCAUUUGUAUUGUUUUCUUGUUGAAGAUUCCAUGUAAUCAUCUCUCUCCCAACAUAACCUAGCUGGGUUUGACUUAAGUUUCUGUGGUUUUCUUGUCCGAUUAAUUAACAUAAUCGGAUAUGAAAACCACAUAAUUGCGUUAGACUUAGUUUGGUUAUGUUGUUGAAGAUAGAAUCAAACACUGAACAUGUUUUUCAUAAAUAUGGUGGGUUUGGUUGUGAUUGGGAAGCAGCCAAACAACUUUAGAGAUGAAAUUCACAUAUACUUAGUUAUUUUCCCCACCAUUCUACUAAUUCCAUCUCUCAUGUUCUUCUUUCUAGCUAUUAAUUAAAUUUAACUGUUCUUUUUCUUAUAUAAAGUCUGGGUCAGUUUGAUUGUUCAUUGCCUUCAACUGUUCUGCUGAAGGUAAAAGGGGCGAUGAUUACAAAGAAAGAAGAUGUCUUACGUGGAAAAUAUUACCUAAUUCCAUCCAUCGCAAAUGCUGGGUGCCUAAAGAGCAAUUUUCAAAAUCAAAACCAAAAACAAUAAACAACAAAUUAUAGGUCAGGAGUCGAAGGUGCCGCUAUACCCUUUUCACCCAAGGGCUUUUGGCUUUGGCAUCUCGUAUUCUGUCUUCUUCUUUUUUCUCCUCUUCCUCUCUCUUACUGUCCCUUCAAAUUGAAUUGGAUUUUUUCCUACAGUGAUAGAUCUAUCAAAAUUUACACUUCAUAUGAGCCCCUCAACCUUCUCAUUUUCCAUUCUUAUGAUCAUUUUAGUUUCUUUGUUUUAAAAAUUAGUUUUGUUCAGGGUUGUAGUUUUUUGUUUUUUUGCACUAAAGUUGUUUUGAAUGGGAAGCAUUUGUUGUUUACUUGUUGAUGAUUUUGUUUCGAAUUAUCCAAAAUAGGCUUGUUUCAAUUUCCCCUAACCUAACCAAACUGGAUCGACACCCGAGUUUUUGGUCUCUAUGCCCGAUUAAUUGAUUCAGUAAAUCGGGCAUGGAAACCGCUAACUUGGCGUAAAAUCUUAUUUGGUUAGGUUGUUGGAGAUUGAAUCAAUUGACCAACUACUGAUCAUGUUUUAUUACAAAUAUGGCGGGUUCUGUUGUAAUUGGGCAAGUAGAGAUGGAAUCCAGGGAUGCUGCGUUUUUUUGUCUCACCAUUCUACUAAUUCCAUCUCACAGUUUCUUAUUUGUUAAUAUCUGCUAUUCCAAUUUAAUUUUUUUAUGUAUUUUUUUUUAUUUUGACAGAAAGUUCGGGGUUUUGUAAUAUGGAAGAAGACUCUUGUUCUCUUUUAGUAAUUUGAUACAAGUUAUGGGCUUUUACACUUGGAUAUUAAUCAAUACUGAGGUAUGUGGGGAUGGUAUAAAUUGCAUGCUUUUAAGGCAUAGAAUUGCAUGUUAAGUAUUGAUCCUGAGAAUUUGCUAUGACUUGAUGGUAUUGAUGAGCCAUUACAGUGUUAUCUUGGAGUAAUAAUUAGCCAGAGCAUAUGUGCAACGGUGAAAGUGUCCGCUUCAGAAAUGUUUAUACCUAAUUUCUUGAAAGUUGAAUGCAAGCGAAAUCUUAUCUUAGAGUAAUAUUUACCUUUUUGUUUACAUUUGUUGAAUCACUUUAAAUUGGGAAGUGAACAUCGAAUCGAAACAUUUGUGGAGUCUUAGUUAAGACUGUUCAGUUGCCCCCUUUAGUUCAAUAUUUUUGAAGUUAUAUAAGUAAGUUAUCACAGAUAUACUUGCUAUUAAAGAUGUAGCAAGUUCAAUGAUUUCAAGUCUUAGAGUAAAAGUGUACAAACCAAAUAAAUUUCAUAUGAAUACAGACUAAAUAAGUCAUAGAGUACAGUGUACAAACCAAAUAAAUCUCAUGUUUCAGUAUUAUAAUUUAUUAUAGUUUAAUCCUCAAAUAGUUGGUCUUAGAGACGAGUCUCUAGAAUGGUUGAAGUAAAAAUAGGUUUUGGAUGAUGUGAGAUACAAAUCUGAAUUAUCCCUUGAGAGUAAUAUAAGGAGUCACUGGAGUGUAUACCUUUAUUUGUCUCCGAUCUGUUUGUGGAACCAAUUAUGUUUUUAGAUACUGUUUUUGCUCGUCACCCGGAUGCAUCGACUAUGGUUACAGUAUCGGAAUAGUUCCUUGUGCAGAAUUUAACUUGAAUCAUGUCUCUUUUAUUCAAUCAUCACCAAUGUUUUCUUUUUAACAUGUAUAAUGUAUUUAUAGUUUAUACUGUCAUCUGCAAAUUGUAUGUGGGUACUUCAUUAAUUGUUCAUUGCUUUCAGCUGUUUUGCUGAAAGUAGAAAAAAGGGGCGAUGAUUACAAUGAGAGAGGUCUUUAGUGGGAAAUACCCUAUUUGUUCGGAAAAUCAUAACCCAACUUCUAUCAGAGUUAGGAUCCUCUCCAUUUAUCAAUAUCAACAAAAAAAUUAAAAGAAAAUGAAAAUGAAGAAGAUUAGAACUUGAACGUGCCGCCAUACCCUUUUCACCAAAAGGGUCUGGCUUUGGCAUCUCAUAUUCUAUCUUCGUCUUCUUUCUCCUCUUCCUCUUUCUCUUACUGUCCCUUCAUAUUGAAUUGGGUUUUUUCCACAGUGACAGAGCUUUCUUAAUUUACACUUGAUAUGAGCCCCUCAACUUUCUGAUUUUCCAUCAUUAUUAUUAUUAUUAUUAACUUAUUUGUUUUUAAAAAUUAGUUUUGUUCAGAGUUGUAGUGUUUUUUCUUGCGCUGAUUUUAUUUUGGAUGAGGAAACACUUCAUGUUCUCGUCAAAGAUUCAGUGCGGACAGAAAAAGCUUGAUUUUAGCUACUGCUUGUUUCUGACGAACAUAUUUUUCAGAAUAUGGUGGAUUUGUUGUAAUUCGGCAGCGGCUCGACAACCGUGGAGAUGGAAUCCACAGAUGUUGAGUUUUUUCUUGUCUCACACUUCUACUAAUUCCAUCUCACAUUUUUUUCUUAUUUGUUAUCUGCUAAUUAAAUUAAUUGUUCAUUUGGAUGUAAUAUUUUUGAUAUUGAAAUAACUUUUUGGGGAUUAAUAAAAAGGAAGAAGACAAAGUAUUAUGUAAUCAAUUUGCUGCUUUUGCAUUUGCACUCUUUUUUUUUUUCCUUUCUUUUAAUUUGAUAAAAAUUAAUAGUUUUGAAUGGGAAGCAUUUGUUGUUUACCUGUUAUUGACGGUGUAGCAACUUCAAUGGUUUCAAUGCAGCAGAUAUGAAAACUUAAUAUUAAUCAAUGUUCCUGAGACUGGAAAGGCAAUCGUAUAGAAAUGCAUGAUAAGCAAUGUUCCUAAGAAUUUGGUGAAACAUUGAUGAGUCUUUACCGUGUGAACUUUGUGUUGUGGCAUAUUGGAUUGAGGAAUUUUUCAAGGGCUGUCUGUGUACCAUUUUUUAAGUUAAAAUCAUGUGCUAGUUAUAGAAAAACAUAUCACUUGUUUGUGACUGUAUAUACAAGCAAGUGCUGUACUUUGCCUCUCUUUGUUCUUGCAUGAAAUGAUGGAUAUACUGCGUCUUUGCAAUUGGGUGAUCGUUGAUUAUGUUUUUGUUUUUAAGGUGCUGCUUCAGAUAUCAUGCAAUGCACCUCUGGUAGUCUGGUUAAGUUUUUGUUCAAUAAGUUAUUAUAGGAAAAGGAUAUAAACAUUUACAAGUUAACAAGUUAAACGUUGAACUUUCUGAGUUAAGUUUCAGCUAAUUGCCAAUGCUCUAUUCUGUAUAAAGCGUGGGUUAGAUUCAUUGUUCAUUGCUUUCAGCUGAUUUGAUGAAGGUAUAAAGAAAAGGGAGAUUAUUAUAACGAGAGAGGCCUUUAGUGGGAAAUAAUAAUCAAUUCAAUCGGAAAAUCAGAACCCUAACUUCUAUCAGAGUUAGGAUUUGCUCCAUUUACCAAUAUCAACGAAAAGUGAAAAGAAAGUGAAAGCAAAGGAGGUCAGAACUGGAAGGUGCCGUCACACCCUUGUCACCAAAGGGUUUUGACUUUGGCAUUUUUUUUUAUUUUUAUUUUUUUGUUUUUUGUCUCACACUUCUACUGAUUCCAUAUCACAUUUUCUUAUGUUUAAGUGUUCAUUUUCAUGCAAGUUAACAAUUUUGAUUUGAAUUUCGGGGUUUUAUAAUAAGGAAGAAGACAGUAUUAUGGAAUCAAUUUGCUGCUUUUGCAUUUGCACUAUUUCUUGCUCUCUUUUAAUUUAAUAAUAAUUAAUAGCUUUCACAUUUUUCUAUUAAUCAAAAUACUGAAUAAAGUUAUGUGGGGAUGGUAUAGAGUUGCAUCCUAAUAUUAAGUUGUUUAGCAUAUGUGCAAUGUGUUAGCUAAAGACAUGUUUAUACCAUCUCUUACAUUAAUUUUUAUAAAUGUUUGUCCAUUAAGUUCAAAUUGUGAACCAAACAAUGAAUUGAAACGUUUGUAGAUGUUGAUGCCUAAUUAAGACUGUUCAAUCGCCCCCUUAUUAUUGAAGAUGUGGAACUUCGUUUUGAUGCAGCAGAUAUAUGAAUACAUUAUUAAAGAAAUCUUUAGACAAAAGACCUAAUAAUUCACGGUUUUCAGUAUUGUGAGGAGGUGAGCUGGAAGCAUAAUGCAGGGGUUGUUCUGUUUGCAAUAAGUAACUGCUUGGUUAGAAAACAUUAGAUAAUGAUGCUGUAAUUUUUAUACUAAUCAUGUUAUAGGAGGUUGAGAGAUGUAGAUUGCUGUAAUAUAUCCUCUUAGCAAGUUGAUUGAUCCGGAGUUUGUGAUUGUACUAUUUGUAGAUUUCUUUUUAUAUAAGUAGUGAUUGAUAAAAAAAAAAAUUUGUUCAUUUUUUGUUAGUCUCUGAUUGGGGUUUUUUAAGCCAAUGGUGCUUUAAGAUAAUUUUUUUUACGUUGCUAGUCACCCUUGUGCAGAAACUAUGGUUACAUGAACAGUUUGUUGUUUGAUUGAGAAUUGGAGAAUUUCAUGUAAAUGUGUCACUGGCUUGCUUUUUUUUGUGUGGAACUUACAGUUGCUGUAAUUAAUCUUCAUUGUACGAACAAUGCCAGUAGGGCUAUUAGGAAAUGGUUUUGCAAUCUUUUGCUAAAAAAGUAAAAUGAUAAAAGGAGGAUGAAGGUGGAGCGAGAGCUGCAAACUUGUGUUGAUUGUGGGGAAUACUACAUAAAAGACCCAUCAUGACAUCAAUUCUAAUUUGUCACAAUUCAUGGCAAAAAAAGGUAUGUUUUUGUUUAAUUUAACAUAUUGUUCUCUUGAUUCAUUUCAUUACUUAUCUUCAUUACCGCUUUUAAAAAGACUUGUUGGACCCUUUUCUCUUAGUAUCAGAACUAUUUGGCCUUUUGAACGUGUAAUUUAAGGGCAUUUGAUCCUUUCACUCUAGGAUCUAGAUUGAAUUGUAGUAGAGGAAAACCAUUGAUGAUUAUAAAUGCUGUAUAGAAUUGUUAGGAACAAGAAUGACUACAAAUUGAUGAACAGGGAUCAACCUGUUAAUAUUUUGUAUUUUAUGUUUGAUAAGGUAAAAUAAAUAAAUUUUCAGGGAAAAAUUAAACCCCUAAUAAAAAUGCUUGAUGCUAUGAGUUGUAUCCUUUGUUCGCCACUUUUAGUGUUUCAGCAUUUUGCUGAGCCGAAACUGCAGGGCAGUGAUUAGAAUGAGAGAAGCCUUGAGUGGGAAUACCCAAUUCCAUAGAUAAAUUCGUAUAUAGAAACACUUUUAUUCUCUUCACCCCCCCAAAAAUCAAACAAAACAAAAUCAAAGAAGCUUUGAGCUCAAUGGUGCCGCCGAGCCUUUUUCACCAAUGGGGUUUGACUUUGGUAUCUCAGGUUCUAUCUUCCUCUUCCUUCUCCUCCUUCUCUUUUUUAUUCUUUUAUCGUCCCUUAAAUUGAAUUGGGUUUUCCCCACAGUGACAGAUCAUUCCCUCAACCUUCUGAUUUUAUAUUGUUUUGAUUAUUAACUUAUUUGUUUUAAAAAUUUGUUUUGUGAAGAGUUGUAGUUAUGUUUAUUGCCUGAUUUUGUUUUGGACAAGGAACACUUGUGUGUUGUUUUCUUGUUAAAGAUUCAGUGCGCACAGGAAAAGCUUGAUUAUAGCUACUACUGCUUGUUUUCUGCUUUUCAGAAAAAAUAGUGGGUUUGUUGUAAUUGGGAAGCGGCCAGACAACCGUAGAGAUGGAAUCCACAGAUCUUGAGUUUUUUUCUCACACUUCUACUAAUUCCAUCUCACAUUUACUUAUGAUUAACUGUUAAUCUUAAUUUAUUGGUUUAUUUUGAUGUAACUUUUAUUGUUGGCAUAAAUUUUGGGGUUUUAUGACGUGGAAGAAGACAUAUAGUAGUAUGCAUAUGAAUACACUCUGUUUUGAAUCAAUUUGCUUCAUUUAUACUUUUUGUUGUCUUUUAAUUUUAUAAAAAUUAAGUGCUUUUAUAUUUAUCGUAAUCAAUACUAAAGUAAGACAUUGCAUGGUUUUAAUUGCAUGUGAGUCAUUGAAGUGGAUACCUUCAUUUGUCUCUGAUUGGCUUUUUUUGGAGACAAUUAUGUUUCAGAUGAUUUUUUGUAGGCUGCUCAUCACCCGGAUGUGGCAACUACGGUUACAGUACAGAAUUAAACUUGAAUAAUGUCUCUUGCAUUCAAUCAUCAUAACCAAUGUAUUCUUUAUAACACAUUUAUAAUGUCAUCCCCAAACAAGAAAGAGUGUAUACUGAAUUCAUCAAUCACGUGAGAUCGAAUUUAUGUACAAUACGCUCUCACUGCUUCACACAACCAAAGCUUGUGCAACCAAUGUUUCACUCUGAACUCAAUGUUUCCUCAGUAGAUGGUCUUUAUAAUGAAGGAUCUUGCAUUCAGGGAUGAAGAAUCUUGCAUUCAGGGAUGAAGAAUCUAUUGGCAGACUCUACUGAUAGCAACAGCUUUGUUAUAUUGAGUGUUUUUUUUUAUAGGUGUAAGGGUAUUUAAAGUACUGAUUGAUGCAAUUAUGCGAUCAAUAUAAAGGUAUAGUGAUGACUUUGGACUGCUAUUUGGCUCGUGUAUAUUGUUUUAUCUUCGCUUUAAGUGAUCAAACAUCUUUUGACUAAAUAAGUAAAUAAUAAAUGCAUAUGCUUUAUUUAUCAAAUAAGUUAUCUUCUUGUUUGUCCUUUUUUCUUUUGAAUCUUCUUCAUUUGAGCUGAUUAUGAGGAUUCCUAACUUGGGUCUUCUUCUGCUGCUGCACUCCCGUCUCUUUCUAUUGCAAGUGUUUUGCCCUUUCAACUAAGAAAUGCUUCAACAAUUGCCCUUUCUAUUGCGUUCUAAGGAAAAACUUAAACUAACCAAUUAAUCCUAAUCCUACUCCUAAUCCAAAAAUUAAAGUUAAUUUAGAGUUACUACUAAUUAUUGUUCGAAACAAAUGUUAAUUUAAUCCUGAUUGUAUUAAAGUUUUUUUUUUUAAAAGCUAAAUUAGCCCACUUAGAUUGACACUAGAGAGAAUCGAACCUGAGACCUCGAGAAGGAGCAUACUCCUAGGUCCCAAGCCAGUACCACCAGGACAACCCAAGUGGAUUCUAAUUGUAAUUAAAGUUAAUUCUAAAAUUUUAAUACUAUUCUAUUAAUUAUUAUGUUUUUCGGUUAAGAUUCUUCAAAUUCCCUCCAUUUACUUAUUGGGUUAAAGACAAGUCAACAUGCAAUUAUAAGACAACAAUAAAAUUAAAUAUUGUAAUUUGGGGCUAGUGCCUGAAAGUAGAAAUAGAGCAAACAUUCUUUUGUGUAUAUUGCAUAUUUAAUUUUAUUCUUUUCCCCUUCGUAAGGUAGACGAGAUAGAGUUGUCUGUUUGUAGAACUACGUAAGAGAGAGCAUGUGAUGAAAGAUUCAUAGACGAAGUUGAAGUCUUUAUAUGAUAAUUUAUGAAUCUCAAUUUUUUAUGUUUCAAUUAUCUUCAUAGGCCUCUUGAAUCUUUAUCCAUUGUCUUUCCAAAUUCUCAUGAGAUGCUUUGUUUUUCCUUUUUUUGCAAAUUUUGCAGCGAAUUACAUCAAAAACACCUAAUAAUUGGCUGGUUCGAGAAAACUAAAAUUACAUGAUUCAAAAUGAAAACAUUACAAAAUGUCCCGCAAACCAUAAACAAUUAUUCUAAAACUCCUCUAAUUUGUAUCAAAACAUAACCAAAAUGACUUAAAAAUAUGUGGAAAAUAACGUAAGAAGACAUGUUAUCAAGUAGCUUAUAAGAAAAUAAGGAGGGUCCAAAAGCAACUCAAUCUAAUUUGGGUCAUUUAUACGUUGAUCACAUUAUUUGGGUUUGGACACAGAAGGUCAGCCCAUUUGAUCAAUACUAUACAGAGUAUUAAUAAGUCUUCCUACAACUGACUGUGCAACUUUUUUUUACAACAACGCGAGAGAAAUCCUAGGAGUUCAUGCCUAAUCGAUUCAACAAGACAAAUCAGGUAUACAAUCUUAGUACGAUUUAAUCUUAUUUUCCAAUUCCAACAUGAUUUAAUUAUAUCGUAUUUAUUCUUGAGAUUUUGCAAUCUUUUUCUUUGUUAAAUGGAUUUUAAUCUAUCACACCACACGACAAGUUUAUGUCAAUUUUCCUCUAUAUUUAUGUUUUGCCAUGAUUUUGUGUUUUAUUGGUACGCACGAUGAAUUUUGAAAUUAGUUAUUCUAAAAAGUAAUUACGUAAUAAUCAAAAUUCAUUUACAGAUCUGAAAAUUAGAUAGACAUGAGAAUAAAAUUUGAGAAUUAUACCUUCAAUUUGAAUUCAUAGAGCUUUAAAAUCAAACUCAUAUGAAAACAUAUUUUGAGGGUUUUCGUAGUAUUUUGAGUUAAAUUUAGGGUUACAAGUUAUUCAAAUUUGAGACGGACACUGAAGAAACAUCAGAUGACAACAAUAUCAAACUUAGCUUAAAUUGGGCUAUUCCAACAAAUAAUGAUUCCAUGACCAUUAAAUUGAUAUGAAGGUAAGUGUUAUAGUAAAGUUUUUUUUGGGGUAAUUUAUGCUUUUAGUCUCUGGAAUUUAUAGUUUUUGUGUUUGAUCGCAAUAAUUAUGUUGUUUUUAAUCCACCUGAGUUGGUGGUGUUGGCAUGGGCCUUAGAGCUCAUCUCAAGGUUUCAAGUUCGAUUCUAUGUCAACUUUAGCAAGCUAGUUUGACUUCUUAAAAAAAUGUUUAUUUUUGUUUUUCUUCCUUGCCACAUGUCAGUCGUCCAUUGGACGCUAAUGUGGCACUGAUGAUGUAGCAACUCUGCCAUUCGGCAAGGUUCAAUCAUCAUGAUUUCUUCCUCGUAAGUAGAUUAGUAUGACUUGUAUAUCACAUGAACCUGAAGUGAUGAAAUCUUAGUUUGUGGGAGUAGAUUCUAAAGAAUUUAGCGCACAUUUAAUUACACACCAUCUUACAAGAAAAUUCAAUCACUAGCAAAAUAUAUAAAACAUUUUACUUAUGAAUUUUCUAAAAUGAAAUUAUUGUUUUAUAUAUGAAACAGUUCUUUGAAAAGUUGAUGGAGAAGCAAGAGGUUGGUGGAUCUCAGAAUCAAACCACGGGUAAAAGGACUGCUUCAGAAUCUGGAGGGAACAAUGAUGAAAUUCAAAAUUCCGAAACACAAAAACAUCCUAUGGUAUGUAUUUUUUAUUUUUUUUUAGGGGGUCCUAUGGUAUGUAUUGUUGACCAUAUAAUAAAUAGUCACAUAAUUAUUUUUGCAAUUGAAUUCAUUUAUUUUGUUUGCUAAAAUGUGAUUUAAUGCUUCCUCUUAUUCAAAAUGUGAUUUCAUUCUUGUUCAAUAUUGCUUGCAAGAUUUAGUAGUAAUGUUUUUUCAUUAUCUUGCAGGGCAUGACUGAUAUAUCAACUCAAUCCCAAAUUGGUGGUGUGAAGAGAAUGGGGGAACUGGACAAUGGACCUAAUAGAAACCUGGCUAUUGGAGUGGGCUUGGACCGUAGACUUAGACCAGGAGUUUGGAAGGUUUACACCAGGAAGAAGACAAAGGUAGCAAAGGAGGAUGGCAUGGAUGAGAAGGAAUAAUCAUCUAUCUUUCUGUUAUGAUUUUAUGGGGUCACCUUGGAUGAUUUUGGGAGCCUAUGUGCUUUUGGGGUUGAUAGUUUUCACUAUCAAUUGUUAUUUUCCAUUUACAUUGUCCUUAUCUCCUGUAAUUGUGGAUCUAAGCAUUACAAUUCAGAGUUUUUAUUAUAAAUUCAUAUCUUCUUUCAUUUUUCUGCUUGUUAAUUCCCAUCAAUUGGUCCGACAUAUUGGAUCAAACUAACACCACCAUCGGAGAUUUGUAGAUGCCAAGGAAAUCUAAAAUCGGUGAACGAAUUGAUGUGUUAGAAAUUCAAAUGGAAACUGUAACAACCACACUACAAAGUCUUGCUUCUCAUAUGUAUUUUUUCUCAGCUACAGCUGUCAAAACGGGUCGGUCCAUUAGCUUGAUUAAUUAUAGGGUUUGUGUCUUAAUAUUGAGCCUGAAUUUUUAUAAGUCUUUUUAGCCCGGCCAUAAAAAAUCCGGCAUCCGUUAGGGCCGCGGAUAGCUCGUUAACCCGCAUAACAAAAAAAAUCCUAUAAAAUAUAUAUUUUUUAAAUGAUUCUCGGAUUAUCAAAGUAAAAAAUAAAAGUGAAAAUUCAAUGAGUUAACUCACAAAUAAAAAAGUAAUAUAAAAAUUUAUUUACUUGUUUUGUUAUUUAUAAUUUUAAAGAUCGAAUAUAUAAAUAUCUAUAACCAUAACGUAUGUAAUUUAUUUAAAAUUGCUUUCAUCGCUGUUUUAGUUCGCGACGUUUGUACAAAAAUGUUUACAAUUUAUUUUUUUGUGCUAGACAUUAUUUAAACAUAUUAAAAAUAUUAUUUAUAAUAAAUUUUACAGGAGUAUUUUUUGUUAAAAUGUUAUUUUUAGUACGGUCCGGCCCGUUUAUCCCACGACCUAUAUAUGGCCUACCCUAAAUGGUCUAGAUAGUCUCUUAUGAACUACAUAAUAUAAUAUAUGUAAAGUUCGACUUUCAAACCUCGAAAAAACAAGUUUAGGAGGAUGAAAGAUAAAUGACUUAAUUACAUUUUUGGUCCUUGCAUUUUGACAAACUCACGAAAAUGGUCCUAUCUUUUUUAAAUCGAAUAAAAUCGUCUUAAACUAUAUGUUUUUCUGCAGUUUUAGUCAUAUCUCCAUAUUUCGAACUUCAGAAACGCACAGAAAUGACAGUUUUAGUCCAGCCACCUAUGCUCAACCAGAAAUAAACAAAUAAUAAAACAUGUGCGUACGAAUCUACUUUAUUCAGCACACUACCCUAAUUUCCAAGACAUGUUAUAUAUCUAAAACAUGUCUUAGAAAUUAGGGUAACAUAUCUCUCGAAAAUUAGGUUAGUGCGCUGAAUAAAAUAAAGUAGAUUCCUCGUACUUAACCACGUUUUAUUGCUGAACACAAUUCGGGCACUGGUUAGUCUUUCUGUCUAAAACCAUACCUGGUUGGUCGAUGUUGAUCUCUAUCUCUCUCAGGCGCGUUUCUUCGUUCUCUCUCCCAAUCUCAUUUGUGAGUUUUCUUCUUCCUCCUUUUUCUCUUCAGGUGCUGAAAUCAGAUUCAUUGAUUUCUCAAUUUAGUUCAUUUUUUUUUUAUAGAAACAUCAACAUCUAAACAUAAAUAAGUCUCAAACAUUCUUACGAUCAUUUCAGCUUAUUUGUUUUUGAAAAAUUGUUUUGUUGUUCCGAGUUGUAGUUUUUACAAUGAUCUUGCUUUGAAUGAGAAACAUUUGUUUGUUUCCUUGUCGAAGAUUCCAUGCAAACUGGGUUUGACUUAGUGUAUGUGGUUUUAGUAUCCGAUUAAUUAACAUAUUAAUUAAUCAGAUAUGAAAACCACAGAGUUGUGUUAGACUUAGUUUGUUUAUAUUGUUGAAGAUAGAAUCGACCACUGAACAUGUUUUUCAUAAAUUGUUAUGAGCCAUUUUUCAUUUUUAUCCAACCUUCUCAUUUUCCAUUUUUAUGAUCAUUUUAGCUCCUUUGUUUGGCAAAAAUUGUUUUGUUCAGGGUUGUACUUUUUUGUUUUUUUGCAUUGAAAAUGUUUUGAAUGGGAAACAUUUUUGUUGUUUUCUGUUGAUGAUUUUGUUUUGAAUUAUCCAAAAUAGGCUUGUUUCAAUUUCCCCCAACCUAACCAAACUGAAUUGACAUCCGAGUUUGUGAUCUCUAUGGCCGAUUAAUUGAUUCAGGUAAUCGGGCAUGGAAACCACUGCAUUUGUACUCCUGUUCUCUUUUAGUAAUUUGAUACAAGUUACAAGCUUUUACGCUUGUAUAUUAAUCAAUACUGAGGUAUGUGGAGAUGGUAUACAAUUGCAUGUUUUUAAGGCAUAUAAUUGCUUGUUAAGUAUUGAUCCUGAGAAUUUGGUGAGACUGAUAUUGAUGAGCCAUUACAGUGUUAUCUUGGAGUAAUAGUUAGCCAGAGCAUAUGUCCACUCCAGCGGUGAAAGUGUCCGCUUCAGAAAUGUUUACACCUAACAUUUUGGAAGUUGAAUGCAACCAGAAUCUUAGAGUAAUAAGUCAUACCUAAUGUUUAUACCUAUAUUUACCUUUUUGUUUACAUUUGUUGAAUCACUUCAAAUAGGAAGUGAACAUUGAAUUGAAACAUUUGAGGAGUCCUAAUUAAGACUGUUCAGUUGCUCCCUUCAAUUCAAUAUUUUUGAAGCUAUAUAAGGAAGUUAUCAUAGAUACACUUGAUAUUAAAGGUGUAGCAAGUUCAAUGACUUCAAUGUAGUACUAGAUAUGAAAUAUGAAUACAGACUAAAUAAGUCUUAGAGUAAAGUGUACAAACCAAAUAAAUCUCAUUUUUCAGUAUUAUAAUUUAUUAUAGUUUAAUCCUCAAAUAGUUGGGCUUAGAGACGAGUCUCUAGAAUGGAUGAAGUAAAAAUAGGUUUUGACUGAUGUGGGAUACAAAUCCGAAUUUUCCCUUGAUAGCAAGAGAAGGAGUCUAUAGAGUAGGAUACCUUUAUUUGUCUAUGAUUUGUUUGUGGAACCAAUCGUGUUUUCAGAUACUGUUUUUGCUCGUCACCUGGAUGCAUAGACUAUGGUUACAGUAUAUAAUAGUUUGUUGUGCAGAAUUUAACUUGAAUCAUGCCUUUUUUAUUCAAUUGUAACCAAUGUAUUCUUUUUAAAAUUAUAUAUAAGUUUAUACUGUCAUCCGCAAACAAGAUUGCUUUUAGCUGUUUUGCUGAAAGUAGAAAAAUGGGGCGAUGAUUAUAAUGAGAGAGAGGUCUUUAGUGGGAAAUGCCCAAUUUAUUCAGAAAAUCAUAACCCAACUUCUAUCAGAGUUAGGAUCCUCUCCAUUUAUCAAUAUCAACAAAAAAAUGAAAAGAAUAAGAAAAUGAAGAAGGUUAGAACUUGAAGUUGCCGCCAUACCCUUUUCACCAAAGGGGUUUGGCUUUGGUAUCUCAUAUUCUAUCUUCGUCUUCUUUCUCCUCUUCCUCUUUCUCUUAUGUCCCUUCAUAUUGAAUUGGGUUUUUUCCACAGCGACAGAGCUUUCAUAAUUUACACUUGAUAUGAGCCCUCAACCUUCUGAUUUUCCAUUAUUAUUAUUAACUUAUUUGUUUCUCAAAAAUUAGUUUUGUUCAGAAUUGUAGUGUUUUUUUUUUUUUUUUGCACUGAUUUUUUUAAUUUUGGAUGAGGAAACACUUCAUGUUCUCAUUAAAGAUUCAGUGCGGACAAAAAAAGCUUGAUUGCAGUAGCUACUGCUUGUUUUCUGGUGAACAUGUUUUUCAGAAACAAUAUGGUGGAUUUGUUGUAAUUGGACAGCGGCCAGACAACCGUAGAGAUGGAAUCCACAGAUGUUGAGUUUUUCCUUGUCUCACAUUUCUACUAAUUCUAUCUCACAUUUUUUUUUUUUUUUUUGUAUUUGUUAUCUGCUAACUAAAUUUAAUUGUUCAUUUGGAUGUAAUAUUUUUAAUAUCGACAUAACUUUUGGGGUUUAAUAAAAAGGAAGAAGACAUAACUUUUGUGAAGCAAACAUUGAAUUGAAAUGUUUGUUGAUGCCUAGUUAUAAUAUAUCCUGAGUAAACUGAUUGAUCAAGAGUUUGUGAUUGCACUAUUUGUGUACCUGUGGCAUUUCUUUUUGUUAUAUAAGUAGCGAUUAAUAAAAUUUUGUUUGUUCAAUUUCUGUUUGACUCUGAUUGGGGUUUCUAGCCAAUGGUGCUUUGGAACUAUGGUUAUAUGAAUAGUUGCUUCAAUGGAUUUUUUUUGUGUGGAGAAGUGCUAGUACCCACGUUGAUUGUUUAUUUUUUUAGAGGGAGAUUAGGACAGGGUUUUGCAAUGUUUUGUUAAAAAAUUAAAAUGAUAAAAGGAGGAUGAAUCUGAAGUGAGAGCUGUAAACUUUUGUUCAUUGUGGGAAUACUAUAUAAAAUACCCAGCAUGACAUCCUUUCAAAUUUGUCACACUUGAUGGCGGAAAAAGGGUAUGUUUUGGUUUAAUUUAACAUAUUGUUCUCUUGAUUCAUUUGAUUUCAUUUCAGUUUUUAUAUAUUCAGGCUAAACUCUUAUUUAUCUUUAUUACCCCUUUAAAAAGACUGAAUAUUUUUUUUGGAUCCUUUACUCUCAAGAUUAGAACUAUUUGCCCUUCUGAACAUGUAAUUUAAGGGCAUUUGAUCCUUUCACUAGGAUCUGGGUUGUAUUGGAGUUGUGGAAGGUCAGUGGUGAUUAUAAAUGUAAUAUAGAAAGGGAUAAGGGAGCAAAAAUUAGUUUGAAUUAGAAGACACUUGUCAAACACAAUGAAUCUUUAUUUGUUCUUGACCAUUGGUCAUAUGUUAGAAAAAUCAGUUUGAUUGUUAGGAUUAAGAUUUUGGUCAGUUAAUGUUUUUCUGCAUCUGAAAUUGUUGUGUGUGUAUAAUAUGGAUCAAGAAUGUCUCUAUUUAUAGCCAAUUUUAACUGUACUCUCAUUAUUUAACAUAUAAUUUAAUUUAGGAGAAAACUUAGGUACAGUACCUUGUGUGCUGGUGGUACUGUUCCCUAUCAGAAAAUAACACGUGGCUUAUAAAAACAAACAUAAAGUAAAUUUUAUUUGUAGUUUUCAUGGUGGAUGUGUUCUGGUUAUCAUCAAGAACUUUAUUUGCAAUUUUAGUUAACUAUUUUGCUAUAUAUCUCUAGAAAAAAGAACGAAGAAAUUUUGUGAAUGAAGGUAACACUUUGCUGGAUUUAUCCUUGCUGUUUGAAGGAAUGAAGGUGGAAGUUCAACCUUUGCUAGUUGUUUGUUGCCAUUGACCCUGGAUUCAAAGGAUUUAAUUUGGCUUUAUCCUUCGAGCCACAACUCUAAAAAGAAGGAUGAUAAAGCCAUCACACCCAUAAAGCCAAUUUAUCCAAGAAGAAGGACCAUGUGUGAAAGGGGUAGGGAGAAAUUGAAACGGUAGCUAUGAGCAGUAAAAACAGUGAGACGGAUUAAUGAAGGAAGAAAAGUUAGUUUUUUAAAAGGACACGUGUAUUGUUAUUAUUGGGGAACAGUACCACCAGCACAUAAGGUAAUUUACCUAAGUUUUCUCCUUUAAUUUAUUCUAAAAAAAAUCUCAACAUCUGAAAUAUUUUGAUAAGUAGAUGUGCAAUUUUUUAUUAAAAAAAAUUAAGUGUGGGUUAUAUUCACUGUUCUUCGCCUUCAGCUGUUUUGCUGAAUGUAGAAAGAAAAGGGCUAUGAUUACAAUGAGAGAGGCUCUAGUGGGAAAUACCAACUCAAGCGGAAAAUUAGAAUCUCGCCUGAAAUCGGCUCUAACUUCCAUCAAAAUCCAAAAAAAAAAAAAAAAACUAAGAAAGUCAGGAGUUGAAGGUGCCGCCUCGGUACCCUUUCAUCAAAAGGGGGUUUGGGUUUGGUAUCUCAGUUUCUGUCUUCAUCCUCUUUCUCCUCUUCCUCUUUCUCUUACCGUCCCUUCAUAUUGAAUUGGGUUUUUUCCACAGUGACAGAGCCUUCAUAAUUUAUACUUGAUAUGAAGCCCUCAGCCUUCUGGUUUUAGCUUGUGCUUACAUGAAAAGCUUGAUUAUAGCUCGUGCUUGUUUCAAUCUCCCCCAACCUAACCAAACUGGGGUUGACAUUAGCAUCUUUGGUUUCUAUGCCCGAUUAAUGGACGUAUUCGAUUAAUCGAGCAUGAAAACUACAAAUGCUAUGUGUUGAACCGUGUUUGGUUAGGUUGUUGAAGAUCAAAGCAAACCAAUCAACCAUUAACAUGUUUUUGUGGGUAUUGUUGUAAUUGGAUAGCGGUGGCUAGAUAACUAGAGAUGGAAUCCACAUAUGUUGAUUUGUUUGUCUCACCAUUCUACUAAUUCCAUCUCAUAUUCUUAUUUGUUAGUAUCUGCUUAUUUAAAUUUAAUUGUUUUAUGUAUGGUUUAUUUUGACAGAUAAUUAAGGGUUUUAUUAUAAUAAGGAAGAAGACAUAAAGUAGUAUGCAAUAUGCAUAUGGAUACUGUGUUUGGAAUCAAUUUUCUGUAUUUGCACUCUUUUUUUGGGUUCUCUUUUAAUAAUUUUAUAAAAUUUAUGAGCUUUCACACUUGUAUAUUGAUCAAUACUGAGGUAUGUGUGGAUUGUAUGGAAUUGCAUGUUUUUUAGGCAUAGAAUUGUAUGUUAGGUAUCGAUCCUAAGAUUUUGGUGAUGGCAUUGAUAAGACAUUACAAUGUGAACUCGAAGUAAUAAUUAGCCAGAGCAUAUAUGUGCAAAGCUUCAACAAUGUUUUUACCUAAUUUCUUGAGAGUUGAAUGCAUCCACCAUCUCCUACCUUUACCUUUUUGUUUACAUUUGUUGAAUCAGUUCAAAUUGGGAAGUGAACAUUGAAUUGAAACAUUUGUUGAUGCUCAAUUAAACCUCUUCAGUUACCCCCUUCAAUUCAAUAUUUUUGAAGUUAUAUAACUAAGUUAUCACAGACAUGUGUUCACUGAUUUCAAUGUAGUACUAGAUAUGAAAUGUGAAUACAGACUAAAUAAAUCUUAGAGUAAAGUGUACAAACCAAAUAAAUCUCAUUUCUCAGUAUUAUAAUUUACACCCUCUUAUAGAUCACAUACAUCAUUUAAUGAAUGAAUCUAAAAUGUUGGUUUUUGCUUAUAAUAGUGACCAGAGGGUGUACAGUUUAAGCCUCAAUUAGUUUCGCUUAGAGUUGAAUCUCUAGAAUGGAUCAAGUCAAAUUAGGUUUUGGCUGAUGUGGGAUACACGAAUUAUCCUUGGAUUGCAAGAUAAGGGAUCAUUGAAGUUGGAUAUCUCUAUUUGUCUCCAAUUUGUUUUUAGAACCAAUUUUAUUUUCAGUUCCUUUUUUUGCUCAUCACCUGGAUGCAGCAACUAUGGUUACAGUACAGGAAUAGUUUGUUGUGCAUAAUUUAACCAAUGUAUUCUUUCGCAAACAAGAAAUAGUUUAUAUUGACAGCAAGUCUUACAUGAGCACAUGAUUCAUUGUUCAUUGCUUUCAGCUGUUUUGCUGAAGGUAGAAAAAUGGGGCGAUGAUUACAAUGAGAGAGGUCUGUAGUGGGAAAUACCCAAUUUAAUCGGAAAAUCAUAACCCAACUUCUAUCAGAGUUAGAAUCCUCUCCAUUUAUCAAUAUCAACAAAAACAUGAGAAGAAAAAGAAUAUAAUGAAGGUUAGAACUUGAAGGUGCCGCCAUACCCUUUUCACCAAAGGGGUUUGGCUUUGGCAUCUCAUAUUCUAUCUUCCUCUUCUUUGUCCUCUUCCUCUUUCUCUUACAGUCCCUUCAAAUUGAAUUGGGUUUUUUCCUGCAGUGACAGAUUUCAUAAUUUACACUUGAUAUGAGCCCCUCAACCUUCUGACCUUCCAUUAUUAUGAUUAAUAACUUAUUUGUUUGUUUUUAUUGUUCAGAGUUGUAGUGUUUUUUUUUUUUUUUUUGCACUGAUUUUAUUUUGUAUGGGGAAACACUCGUUUUCUUGUUGAAGAUUCAGCGCUGACAGAAAAAGCUUUGAUUGUAGUAGCUACUGCUUGUUUUCUGGUGAACAUGUUUUUCAGAAACAAUAUGGUGGAUUUGUUGUAAUUGGGCAGUGGCCAGACAACCGUAGAGAUGGAAUCCACAGAUGUUGAGGUUUUUCUUGUCUCACCAUUCUACUAAUUCCAUCUCACAAUUUUUCUUAUUUGUUAUCUCCUAAUUAAAUUUAAUUGUUCAUUUUGACGUAAUUUCUGUUAUUUUGACAUAAACCUUUGCGGUUUUGAGUUAACUAGGAAGAAGACAUAAAGUAGAGUGACAUGGGUACUGUGUUUGGGAUCUAAAUGAUGCAUUUGCACGCUUUUUUUUCUUUCUUUUAAUUUAUUUGAUUUGAUAUAAAUUAAGAGCUUUUUCUCUUAUGUGUUAAUCAAAACAGGAGGAAGGUAUGUGCGGAUGGCACAUAAUUGCAUGUUAGUAUUUGAUACUGUGAAUUUGGCAAGACUUGAUGACACUGUAUAUUUUGUGUUUGUGGCUUGUUAUAUUUAUUUAAUAUUUAAUAAUAUAAGUUGUUUACCUAGAGGUACAUGAAGUAGUAACCUGCCAGAGCAUAUAUUGCAAUGGUGAUAGUCUCUGCUUAAGAAAUGUUUAUGUGGAAUAAUGUCUUGAAAGUUGAAUGCAUCAACCAUCCUAACUUGACCUUUUUGCUUACAUCUGCUGAUCUUUCCCUAAUAGAAAUGUGCGAUGCUGUAUAAGUGUGAGUUGUAUUCUUCUACCAAGGCUUUUAGGGUUUGACCAGUUUUGCUGAGCCUAAAGAUUAGGGCAGUGAUUAGAAUGAGAAAGUUGUUUACCUGUUAUUGAAGGUGUAGCAACUUCAAUGGUUUCAAUGCAGCAGAUGUGAAUACUUAAUAUUAAUCAAUGUUCUUGAGAAUGGAAAGGCAAUGGUAUAGAAAUGCAUGAUAAGCAAUGUUCCUAAGAAUUUGGUGAGACAUUGAUGAGUCUUUA